AGAGCGAACGCUGGCGGCAGGCCUAACACAUGCAAGUCGAACGGAUCCUUCGGGAUUAGUGGCAGACGGGUGAGUAACACGUGGGAACGUGCCUUUUGGUUCGGAACAACUCAGGGAAACUUGAGCUAAUACCGGAUGUGCCCUUCGGGGGAAAGAUUUAUCGCCAUUAGAGCGGCCCGCGUCUGAUUAGCUAGUUGUGAGGUAAGCUCACAAGGCUUCGAUCAGUAGCUGGUCUGAGAGGAUGAUCAGCCACACUGGGACUGAGACACGGCCCAGACUCCUACGGGAGGCAGCGAAGUGGGGAAUCUUGCGCCGAAUGGGCGAAAGCCUGACGCAGCAAACGCCGCGUGGAGGAUGAAGGCCCGUUGGGUGUAAACUCUGUCGGCUGGGAGAACUCGC
This 399-nucleotide ribosomal RNA is filed under the name uncultured soil bacterium. RNAcentral's name for it is "bacterial SSU rRNA". It matches the Rfam family "Bacterial small subunit ribosomal RNA", at positions 26 to 453 of the family's 1533-position model. The record is from RNAcentral.